This is a long non-coding RNA of Gadus chalcogrammus (walleye pollock), 185 nucleotides long. RefSeq lists it as uncharacterized. The transcript has 3 exons. Lineage: Eukaryota; Metazoa; Chordata; Actinopteri; Gadiformes; Gadidae. The record is from RefSeq and is a predicted model, not a curated record.
GUGUCCCUUGUGUGCCAACGUAGUUUGUGUGUGCGCCAUCUUGUUUCAUGUUUGACCGCAAUGGAUACAGGAGAUCAUUGACGCUGCUGCCAUCACAGAGCCCAUCAUUGUUGUUGAUGUUGAACCCUUGUUUUACCCUGCAUUUUGGUGGUUUGUGGGACUAUAUAAUAAAAUGCUGGAUAUGG